RNAcentral lists this ribosomal RNA (253 nucleotides) under uncultured bacterium. RNAcentral describes it as "partial 16S ribosomal RNA". It matches the Rfam family "Bacterial small subunit ribosomal RNA", at positions 524 to 776 of the family's 1533-position model. The record is from RNAcentral.
GACAGAGGGUGCAAGCGUUGUUCGGAAUUACUGGGCGUAAAGCGCGCGUAGGCGGCUUUCUAAGUCGGGUGUGAAAUCCCACGGCCUAACCGUGGAAGUGCAUUCGAUACUGGAGAGCUUGAGUCCUGGAGAGGGUGGUGGAAUUCCCAGUGUAGAGGUGAAAUUCGUAGAUAUUGGGAGGAACACCGGUGGCGAAGGCGACCACCUGGACAGAGACUGACGCUGAGGUGCGAAAGCGUGGGGAGCAAACAGG